AUCGAUUUCCUCGUGUAUCUACCGCAAGCCUUACCAUCGUAAUAAGGCGUAACCAAAUGGUCACAGAGUUCAGGCUGGAUCAUAUUAAUGGAAUCAUAUGCAAAUAAGUACUAAACACAAUAAUCCGGACGGAAAACACAUUUCCACAUUAAUAUCAAAGCAGUUAGUGGUAAAUCGAUUUUACCUCAAACUCUCACACAACCGAAUAGUUGAAAAGAAGAUCAAGUCUUAGGAUGAAGACAUAGUCAAAGAAAACAAAACUGGAAAUGUAAAUUUUGAAAAACAUCGCCCAGUAGUACUAAUUUAUAUGACCACAUGGUGGCGAAGGACGACUGUAAUAGUAAAAAUAAUAAUAAAAAUAAUAUUAAAAUCCUCCCUGCCUCGUGCCCAUUGCUUCCGGGAUAGGCUCCGGACCCCCCGCGACCCAGUAGGAUAAGCGGUUUGGAAAAUGGAUGGAUGGGUAUUAAAAUCCUAUAUAUUAUUUUCCAUAAAUGUGCUUGACUUGAGCUAUUUCUGUAUAACAGUGCUUAUCGAACAAGGCUGACGUUAGUUUCUUAUUCGGUAGAUUUUUCUUCGCAGUCGUCAUAAUGCAUGUUCUGCCAUGCUGACAGCUAUCUAUUUUGCCAGUGUCAUACUUAUGUUAAAAAUCUCAGUACCAUGUGAUACAUCAACUAUGUCACUUACAAUACGUUGAGUUUGAAAAUACUGUAUUGCAGGGUUUCUAAAAUAAUUAUCUCUGAAGUUGGUACUCUUGCACAAUGCAUAUCCUAGCUGCCAUAUUAACAGCAGUUUACCUUAUCAGUGUCAAUAUGUCUGUUUGAAAGUUCAGUAUCAUCUGAUAUACUGACUAUUACACUGACUAUUACAUCCCGAGUUUGAAGACAUUUUACUCCAUCGAUUUUAAAAUAAUGCUCUCUAAAACUGGUACUUUUUCUAUUAAAACCCAUUGAAAAACAAUGCAUGGUCUGCAUUUCGAAAAUGCUGUCCUCUGAACUUUGAGUUUUAUACGGCAAGCAGACACAGGGGCGCCGCUAGCAAUUUUGGGCCCUAUGACAAAAUAUGAGGUUGGGCCCCCCUACCACACCCAUUCAGAUCUCUGGGGGCCCCUAAAGGGCGUGGGCCCUUAGAAUUGUCCCAACUUUCCCCCCCUUAGCGGCGCCCCUGAGCAGACAUAAUGCAUAUCUAAAAAAAAAAACCUCUAACAUACCUUCAACCUCCGAAUAUUGUAAGUGUCAUAGUUGACGUAUCACGUGGAACUGAGCUGUCUAACAGACGUUUUGACAAAAAAGAUAAAAUGAGUGAGAAAUAACUGUUUCGGUAAAUUUAUUUCUGUAGCUUGUCGGUUUUUGUAUGACUGCUGCAGGUUCCCAUUUAUUUAAUCUGUUUUAUCACUUCGUCAUAAAGUCAAUCUAUACUUUAAUCUCCACGGUCUAUGUUCCCUACACAACCUGGAGGUAACAACACAUAUGUUGAAUCUAAUCACCAUGGGUUUCCCAGAUGUGGAUCCUAAAGUUAUAAAAGUUCUUUUAUGAAAUUGUUCAAAGGAGUUACAGAACGACCCGAGAGGAGAAUGCGGAGCAGAAGCAGGAGGGCAGAAUCAUCGCUCGCAUGAGGAGGAGGCUUCCCUAUGGAAGACCAUAUCAGACUGAUAUCUGAAGAGGAAGACGCCGUCUUGGAUGGAAGACUAAUGUGGGUAAUCCAGUCUCCAACAGCCCAUAGCAUAUGCUAGGGCUGCACAAUUAAUUGAAUUUUAAUUACGAUCACGAUUUUGGCUACCACGAUUAAAUUAAGAUGAUCGUCGGCGAUAUUAACAUUUUUAUAGCGGGCUCUGCUGCAUAUCAAAUCAAGCACUUUCUCAACCAAAAGUCAGCCAACCACCAGGGGGCGAACGAGAGCAUAGACUGUAUGAGCGGCAACCUUAAAUUGUGACAAAGUGAGAUGUAAUGUUGGGAGCAUUGUCAUAUGUUUUUGUGCUUAUUAAUUUAAGUAUUUCCAAAGGUUAACCGUAAUCCCAAAACAGUGAUAAAAUAAAAGCCUUGCUUUAACAUAAAUAUAAAAAAAAAUAGAUCGCUUUAAUCGCUAUUACAGUUGGGUAUGGGCACGCGGUCUUAUUUAGAAAAGCUACAGAGAGAGACGCAUAUAAUGUUUAUUCAUUCGUUUUGUAUUUGUAACAAAGCAAAGGAAUGAUUAGCGGCUUCAGUCGAAAACUGCAUUUUACUUCUCAUUUCAAAUAAAAUGCAUGGUUGGCAACUUUGGUCAGCUGCAUGGAGUGAGAUUUUCUGUUCUUUGUUCUACACAUACAUUUACAUGCAUGUAAGUUUUAUUACCUUGUAAAUAGUCUGUAGGGUUUACAAACUGCCGUAACGUUUUUGAUGCAGCUAAUUUUAAGUUCAGAAUGGAAUAUAGAUUUGCCUUAAGAUUUCUUGCGUGAGAGUCUGAAAGAGUACAUUUUGAACGCGUACAUUUUUUGUUUAACCUGAAUUGAUUUAUAUAGAAAACAACAGCAUAGAGUUGUUAAAAAGCAGAAACUUCGACCAACAUGAAAUCGCCAAUAAACGAUUUCUAUUUAUUCAACAUUUUAUAAAAUUCAUACUACGCUUAAAAAAUUCCGGCUUUACGGACAGAACAGCCACUUUGUUAUAAACAUUACGGCUUUUUGAGUGUUGUUACCUGCUCUUAUUAAUAGGGGGUAAUCGACGUUACCUGCAAGAUCGCUAUUUUUCUUUUUGCUGCAGUUGUUUUCAUUAUUACUUUAUUUAACUUGACACACCACAUCCUUAAAUUCUCAUCCUUGCAUUAGAAUAUAGACCAGUUAAUAUUGAUGGUGACUCAUGCUGCGUCAUAUAUUUUUAUAAUUACUACACACUGAAUAUUGAACUGUAGCUUGACAUGAAAAAUUAAAUCGCAAAUCAAAUCGUAAUCGCAAUGUCUGUCAGAAAAAAUCGCGAUUAGAUAUUUUCCCCAAAUCGUGUAGCCCUAUCAUAUGCUUUAUUCCUUUUAAACUGAGAAGUCGGAAUUUCCGAGUUACUAUUCCUUCCCCUCUGAAAUUGGAAUUCUGACUCAGAAAGUUGGAAGAACCUCUGUAAUCCUGACCCCAGAAUUCAAGGUGACUGCACCCAACAGAACUGAAAGUUGUAGUUUUAUACUGUUUAUCAACACUUAUGUAUUAUUUGUGUUUGCUUAAAUUGGCUGUACACACAGUACUGUCCAAACACUAUCUGUGGAUUUGUUACUACGGUGUUUGUGUGUGCCAAAUUAUCACGAUCGUGGAUUGCGAGUAAGGCGCACGGACAGGCAGGCAGGCAAGGAAGCAGGCAAGACAGGCAAGGUACGGGGGAAACGGAGAUUUAAUAAUAAUACGGGGAGCAGGAAACAUCGGACGAUAACAUCAAUGACGGACAAGGAACCAUGGCAAGACGCGGACUGAAAUACACAAGACGGAGCAAAAUAACUAGACAAGAUCAGGGAAGCACACGUGGAUAUUCAGGGGGCGUGGCACACACGAGGAUCGUACGAGCUGGGCGUGACACAAAUACCGUCUAAUAUAUUUUUAUCAACUGAUACUGGUAACAAUGGCUAACCAUGAACCUGGCUAGAGCUCGGUCUGUUUCAGAAAGCAGGAUUUCUUGCUUAGCCAGACAACUUGUUGUAUUUAAGGCUGUCUGGGCUAAAUCAAUGUAAGUGAACAGAGAUAAAGGCUAUUUAAACUAGCCUUAAAUCAAAGUCAAGUUAUCCAGCUAAGCAAGAAAUCUUUUUAAAGCUAUUACUAAACUGAUUUCCAACUUGUCGUAUUUAAGAGUCUGGGCUAAAUGUAAGUGAAGUAUAAAAAUGCCUCUGUCAUCUUUCUGGUCAUAUACCAACACUGUAUGUGUGUGUGUGUGUGUGUGUGUGUGGGGGGGGGAGGUGUCCUGCUAUGUGAUCCACUGUCCUUUGUAUGCAUUUUUCCUCCUCAUCUCACAGGUCUUUUUUUCCCCCAGAUUUUUCUUAUCAGAGGGAAGGGUGAAGAUUUCUCAAGUGAGAGUGAGCCUGACGGUUCUGAUGACCUCUGGAUUUGCAGCACUAAGCUUUCCCCUCAGGACGAAGCUUGCACAGUUGCACCGGUGCUGGGAACCCUCCAAGCCGGCCACAGCGUACCCGGACGCGUGCUCCAGCUUCCAGGCACCGGGUGUGAAGCUUGCCUCAUACCCACGACGACCCCCAGAUUCGUCACACGUGCUGCCCAGGCCUCACCCCCAUCACUGCUACUACUGUGUUGGUUUGAACUACAUUGUGGGGACUGAACACAGUCGCUAUGAGAUGAACCCUCCUGUGGGGUCAUUUUUCAGGUCCUUAUAAUAUAAACCUCCAUUAUAUAUAUAUAAUAUAUAUAUAUAUACAAAGGAGACCAACCUACCUCAGCACGCCGUGAAGUAUUGAGCCGAAUGUUUACGUGCCAUAUGUGUUUCUUUGUCUCUUGUCUUCCCGAUUUCCCACUCCCACUCCGUUUGCCUAGUGUGUUCUCCUUACCUGCUUCCCUUUCCUUCCCCAGAUCCGCUCCCGCUCCUGACCUGCCUUCCCCGCCGAUACCGGCACGUCCCGUUCCCUCUCCACUGUGUGCUCCUGUCUCGUGCCUGCUCAUAGGACGGAUUCCCUGGGGAUUCCCCAGCGCUCCUUAAUCGGCCACUACCCUUGCUUGCCCCUACGAUUACCUUUAUUACUCAUAUCAGCUGACACCGGACCCUAACACAGCACACAGACACCUGGAACAGGAAGGUGACGUGGAGAAGAGUGGCAGCCAUAUACCGUCCAGAGAGAUUUGACUUAUGACACCAAGUUCUGUGCGAACAGAAUCUCACUGGUCGCUGUUACUGGGAGACUCAGUGGAUGGACAUGGAGCCCUGAUAGGAGAGACUUAUAAAGAAACUGGCAGGAAAGGAGGAAGUCAUGAUUGUAAGCUUGGAGUCAGUGACAAGGCAUGGCUACUGUGCUUUUUCUCCACAUGGUUACUACAUCCAGCGUAAUCAUAAACGGACUGUCUCUACCAUACAGCCCUCAGGUUCCCACAGAGUAGAACUUGGCGACCAGUGCUGUGCCCUUCUACAGAGUCUCCUCUGAUGGACUGACCCUUCUGUACAGAUUCAUCACCUCAUUCACUGAACCCCUCUAUCCAGCUUCUUGGAUUGCUGAAAAAGGUUCAGCAUCCAUUGGAAUGCAGGGAUAGCUCACUGGGCUUGAAGGGCAGGGGGCUUCUUUCAUAAACCGUUUUUAUUAGGAAGUUUGUUUUUAAAACCCACUUGCGCAGUGUU
This is a long non-coding RNA of Brienomyrus brachyistius, 5285 nucleotides long. RefSeq lists it as uncharacterized. The transcript is spliced from 4 exons. The record is from RefSeq and is a predicted model, not a curated record. NCBI's taxonomy places the organism in Eukaryota, Metazoa, Chordata, Actinopteri, Osteoglossiformes, Mormyridae.